This 496-nucleotide ribosomal RNA is filed under the name uncultured bacterium. RNAcentral describes it as "bacterial SSU rRNA". It matches the Rfam family "Bacterial small subunit ribosomal RNA", at positions 899 to 1397 of the family's 1533-position model. The record is from RNAcentral.
ACUCAAAGGAAUUGACGGGGGCCCGCACAAGCAGUGGAGUAUGUGGUUUAAUUCGAAGCAACGCGAAGAACCUUACCAGGGCUUGACAUCCCUCUGACCGGUCUAGAGAUAGACCUUCCCUUCGGGGCAGAGGAGACAGGUGGUGCAUGGUUGUCGUCAGCUCGUGUCGUGAGAUGUUGGGUUAAGUCCCGCAACGAGCGCAACCCCUGUUGUUAGUUGCCAUCAUUAAGUUGGGCACUCUAGCAAGACUGCCGGUGACAAAUCGGAGGAAGGUGGGGAUGACGUCAAAUCAUCAUGCCCCUUAUGUCCUGGGCUACACACGUACUACAAUGGCGACUACAGCGUGAGGCAAGACCGCGAGGUGGAGCAAAUCACCAAAAGUCGUCCCAGUUCAGAUUGCAGGCUGCAACUCGCCUGCAUGAAGUCGGAAUUGCUAGUAAUGGCAGGUCAGCAUACUGCCGUGAAUACGUUCCCGGGCCUUGCACACACCGCCCGU